CCUUGUCUUAGAUGUAGAGGAAUAAAUGAUUCUGGUUUUGGAGAAGUGAUGAUGAUGAAAAUGGAGGAACAAAUGGUUCUGGUUUUGGAGAAUUGAUGAUGAAGAAAAUGAAGGUGGUCACCACGACGAUGAUAAUAAUGAUUCGUUCUCUUUGUUCUGUGAUAUAUACUAAUAUUAUAGGUUGGGAUAACGUAGUUGAUGUAGAACCAGGGAGAAGAGAGUUUGAAUCUUUCCAUCUAGAGAUGCAAUACUUCCAUGAUCAUGCAACUUUCACAGUAGUUGUUGGCCUGAACCAGCAGUGCGAGCAAGUGAAUGCUCCUGAUCCAAUUAUCAACACUUGCAGUGACUUUUACAAAUUCUGGCAGGCAACCCAUGAUUUGCACGAGGCCAUAAAUCUCUGUUAUGCAGCAUCGAUAGCAACUAAUCCUAUGGAAGAUAAUCUUGGUGAUAACUUAGAGUUUCUGUGCUUAUGGAAUGUUAUGACGUACUGAGAUUCUCCAUGGAAAGUGGUGCCAAGGGUUGCAAGGUUCUGUUCAUGUCCUGGUUACUUUGGGGAUUAUACCAUUGUGAGAGGCAUGGUAGUCUCAAUGGUAGAGAAGUGUCUUAGGGCUGUGGUAACAGGCAAGAGGGUUGAAGAAGCAUUUGAAGAGGAUCAAUGCGCUUAAGCAUUGCAUGCUUGGCAAGCUUGGUGGUGCCUUUAUAAGUCCUGCUGGAAUCCUCCGUUGUGCUCAAGGAUGUGUUUUGCUUGACAGAGACGGGGUUCGCAGAAAAGAAAAGCUACACAUUUAUUACAAUU
Molecule: long non-coding RNA, 796 nt
Organism: Papaver somniferum (opium poppy)
Lineage: Eukaryota; Viridiplantae; Streptophyta; Magnoliopsida; Ranunculales; Papaveraceae
Exons: 8
Source: RefSeq, a predicted model, not a curated record